This 253-nucleotide ribosomal RNA is filed under the name uncultured bacterium. RNAcentral describes it as "partial 16S ribosomal RNA". It matches the Rfam family "Bacterial small subunit ribosomal RNA", at positions 524 to 776 of the family's 1533-position model. The record is from RNAcentral.
UACAGAGGUCUCAAGCGUUGUUCGGAAUUACUGGGCGUAAAGGGUGCGCAGGCCGCGCGGUCAGUCAAAUGUGUAAUUCAGGGGCUCAACCCCUGCACUGCGCUUGAUACUUCCGCGCUCGAACCUUGGAGAGGAGUCUGGAAUUCUCGGUGUAGCAGUGAAAUGCGUAGAUAUCGAGAGGAACACCAGUGGCGAAGGCGGGUCUCUGGACGAUUCCUGACGCUGAGGCACGAAAGCCAGGGGAGCAAACGGG